AGCAGCCGCGGUAAUUCCAGCUCCAAUAGCGUAUAUUAAAGUUGUUGCAGUUAAAAAGCUCGUAGUUGAAUUUCGGGGUCAGUAGGUUGGUCGUGCCACUGGUAUGUACUGAUCUCACUGAUUCCUCCUUCCUGAUGAGCUGUAAUGCCAUUAAUUUGGUGUUGCAGGGAAUCUGGACUGUUACUUUGAAAAAAUUAGAGUGUUUAAAGCAGGCUAACGCUUGAAUACAUUAGCAUGGAAUAAUGAAAUAGGACGUUCGAUCCUAUUUUGUUGGUUUCUAGGAUUGACGUAAUGAUUAAUAGGGAUAGUUGGGGGCAUUAGUAUUCAAUUGUCAGAGGUGAAAUUCUUGGAUUUAUUGAAGACUAACUACUGCGAAAGCAUUUGCCAAGGAUGUUUUCAUUAAUCAAGAACGAAAGUUAGGGGAUCGAAGACGAUCAGAUACCGUCGUAG
RNAcentral lists this ribosomal RNA (450 nucleotides) under uncultured Glomeromycotina. Its description in RNAcentral is "SSU rRNA". It matches the Rfam family "Eukaryotic small subunit ribosomal RNA", at positions 569 to 1023 of the family's 1831-position model. The record is from RNAcentral. Lineage: Eukaryota; Fungi; Glomeromycota.